UCAGACGAUGCGUCAUGCAUAUCAAUAAGCGGAGGAAAAGAAACUAACAAGGAUUCUCCUCAGUAACGGCGAGUGAAGCGGGAAGAGCUCAAAUUUGAAAUCUUGAAAGGUCACCUUUCACGAAUUGUAGUUUAAAGAAGUGUUUUCUGUUACGAUCGUAAUAUAAGUUCUUUGGAAUAGGACAUCACAGAGGGUGAGAAUCCCGUCUAUGAUUGCGAUUUGUAGCUUUGUGAUACACUUUCAAAGAGUCGGGUUGUUUGGGAAUGCAGUCCCAAAAUGGGUAGGUAAAUUUCUUCUAAAGGCUAAAUAUUGGCGAGAGACCGAUAGCGAACAAGUACCGUGAGGGAAAGAUGAAAAGAACUUUGAAAAGAGAGUUAAACUAGUACGUGAAAUUGUCAAAAGGGAAGCGUUUAACACCAGUGUUGUUUUCUGAAAAUCAACCUCUGUUAGCUUUAUGCAUGUUUGUUUAGACCUAAUCAGCUAUCUUGCAUGUUCUAUUGUUUGCAGUGGUGCACUUUUCAGUUUACAGGUCAACAUCAGUUUUUUUUACCGUAAAAAAGUUAAAGAAAGGUAGCUCAUGGCUCCGGUCGUGAGUGUUAUAGUCUUUUUCCUAUGCGGUAGGAGAGACUGAGGUCUGCAGUGUAGGCUAUUUGGCUAGAUACUCAGGUGCUAUGUGAUACCAUUUCAUAAACAACUUGUUGAUUAUGUUUUGUCUAUUGCAUACUCGCUUGUACUAUCAUACCUACGCUUAGGAUGUUGAUCUGUAGUGCGUGCGC
This 776-nucleotide ribosomal RNA is filed under the name uncultured Neocallimastigales. RNAcentral describes it as "partial large subunit ribosomal RNA". It matches the Rfam family "Eukaryotic large subunit ribosomal RNA", at positions 18 to 634 of the family's 3401-position model. Lineage: Eukaryota; Fungi; Neocallimastigomycota; Neocallimastigomycetes; Neocallimastigales. The record is from RNAcentral.